AGAGGUUGUCUGGGUUUCUGUUUC
This 24-nucleotide microRNA is filed under the name Echinops telfairi (small Madagascar hedgehog). Lineage: Eukaryota; Metazoa; Chordata; Mammalia; Afrosoricida; Tenrecidae. The record is from RNAcentral.